UGCGCAGGCGGCCUGAUAAGUCAGAGGUGAAAUAUGUCGGCUCAACCGGCAAACGGCCCCUGAAACUGCCAGGCUUGAGUCCGGGAGAGGAUGGUGGAAUUCCUGGUGUAGCGGUGAAAUGCGUAAAUAUCAGGAGGAACACCGAUGGCGAAGGCAGCCAUCUGGCCCGGUACUGACGCUCAGGCACGAAAGCUAGGGGAGCGAACAGGAUUAGAUACCCUGGUAGUCC
RNAcentral lists this ribosomal RNA (229 nucleotides) under uncultured bacterium. Its description in RNAcentral is "partial 16S ribosomal RNA". It matches the Rfam family "Bacterial small subunit ribosomal RNA", at positions 568 to 796 of the family's 1533-position model. The record is from RNAcentral.